GCAGUGGGCUCUCUCGCUCUUGUGUGGCCUGCUGCAUUUGAAAACUUUUUAGAUUUCUUCACCAAAUUGACCACUCCAACGAUCCCUUCGCUCUCCUCUCUCUCUCUCUCUCUCUAACUGGGCGACUCUCUCCAUCUUGUCAAUCUCUCUUCUGAUCUUUAGAUUGGUUCAUUGAUUACAAGGAUAAGGAAAGGGAGUGGUUAGAGAUGCCCAAUCGGGAGCUCCAGCACUGCUGCGACCACGGCCAGGGAGUCUUCAUCGUCUCCGUCGCCGUAUUCACCGUCGUCAUCCUCGCCUUGUGGAGGACUGUGCUGUUGACACCUUUCAAACUUAUCAGUGUUUCUUCAUGAAACGAGUCAUGUCCUAAGCAUAAUCUGUGUUUCAAUGUAAUGCAGGUGUCAUGAACAGCUUGUUUUCUGUCUACGAUAUUUACGAUGAUCUGAUAUCUCGAAGAGUUUACUCUAGUGAUGCUGAGAAGUUUGCUGAAAUUUGUGCUUGCCCCUGUAAUGGUGUUGGAUGGGGGGUUUAUUUGGUUUUAUGAUACAUUUGUAGAUUUGCAAUGUUCAUGGUCGUUUCGAGAUGGUUUGAAUGCAUCCAUGUUUACUUGGAUGGAAGGAUAGUGAGGGGAAAGAUAGUGAAAUGAAACCAGAUAAUUAAAUUGUUUUGUUUUGUUGUAGUUUUUUUUUUUAAAGUCAUUUAAAAAAAUAAAAAAGAAAUAAAAGAAGAAAAAAAAUAUCUGUCUGUCUGUUGAGUGAUGAAAUCCUCGGAUAUAAAUAGGAGGUUGGUUAAUGGCGACCGGUUUCAACGUGCAGGCCACGCGAUGGUGGCGGCCAAACAGCGCUCCUUUUGCGCCGGCGAAUCUCCUUUCUUUUCCCUGUUUAACCGGCGACAGCGAGGAUGGGGAAGGAAGGUUGCGAUGCCAUCUCCUCGUCGUCUCCUUUCACCCUUUUUAACUGCUGCGACAAAAAUGCUUCCUUUGCUUCUCGUUUGCCCUUUUCCCCCAUCUUCCUCCUUCUUCCUUGGUCGGCGCUCUCCUCUCUCUUAUCAGAUAGGUGGAGAAGAGCUGCACAGAAGAGAGCUGUAAGAUGCUGCAGAGGGCGGCGAGCAACGCGUACUCGUGGUGGUGGGCGAGCCACAUCCGGACGAAGCAGUCGAAAUGGCUCGACAGCAACCUCCAGGAAAUGGAGGACAUUGUGCAAAAAAUGCUCAAGCUCAUUGAAGCAGAUGCUGAUUCUUUUGCUAAGAGGGCGGAAUUGUACUUCAAAAGGAGACCGGAGUUGAUAGGUUUUACAGAAGAUGCGUACAGGGCAUACAGAGAUUUGGCUGAAAGAUAUGACCACGUAUCAGGAGAGUUGCACAAGGCCAACCACACCAUAGCAACUGCUUGUCCUGAUCAAGUCCAGUAUGCCAUGCUCGAGGAGGAGGACGAUAAUCUUCCAAAAGCAAUUAUCCCCAUUGAUCCGAGUAAAAUUAACAAACCUCUAGUGGAAGGAUUGAUGAAAAAAAGGAGAGAAAGUGAAUCAUCCAUAAAGAAGCAGCUGAAAAAGAUUAGUGUGCCUCAGAUGAGUGAAGAAGAGGCCCAAGAAGAGAUAAGUAAGCUUCAGAAAGAAAUAUUGGUUCUGCAUACUGAAAAAGAAUUCAUCAAGAGUUCAUAUGAAAGCGGGAUAGCCAAGUACUGGGGUAUCGAAAAGCAAGUCAUGGAUAUGCAAGAAAAAGUUUCUCGGCUGCAAGAUGAGUUCAGUACCGAUGCAGUCAUUGAGGACAAUGAGGCUCGUUCUUUAAUGGCAGCAACAGCUCUUAGGUCUUGUGAGGAUGCCAUGGUUAACUUGAAGGAAUGGAGAAAGAAAUCUCUGGAACAAGUGAAAGUAGAGUCCGAAAGAAUUGAGGUUGCUAAUCAAAAGCUGAAGUCUCUUAAAGGUGAGGAGGUGGAGAAUACUGAAGUAUCUAGCAAAGCCACACAGAUGAGCUUUGCUGCUCAAAAAAUAGAGGAAGAUGCUCUAAACAAAGCAAGGCUCGACUUACAGUACAUAUGUGAGAACGUUAAGAUACAUUUUGAGAUGAGUCCUGAAGGUUCUACGAUAGAAAUUGCUGAUAAGAUUAAUGAGCUUGUAAAUAAAAUUAUCACAUUGGAAAUAACUGUUUCAUCGCAGUCUGCACAAAUUAAUCAGUUAACUUCAGAAAACAAUGAACUUGAUAUAUCGCUUCAGAGAUUGGAAGAGGAGAAAUCAACUCUCAUCAAUGACUCAAAUGCAUUGUCUAAAAGACUGAAGGAAACUGAAAAAGAGUUGACCAGAGUCCGGGCAAUUGAGAAAUUUGUCCAUGACGAAGAAAUCAAUUUCAGUGAAAACUUUGCAGAAACCUGUUGCAGUCUCAGCAAUAUCUCAGAGAAGUUGCAGUCUUUCAAAGCUUUGAAAGAUGAUUGGACUGCAGAUGCACUCAUGGAGGAAGAGCCUUCCACAUGUAACACUGAACCAGAAGAACUAUUGCAAAGUAAUGAGAUAACUGAAAUCAAUGUUAUUAAGGACGAUUUGGAGAAAGAAGUUCGUACAACUCAAGAAUAUGGACAUUGUCAGGAAGAUGAUUCCCACAGUGAGGCAGCUUUUAAACUCAAGGAUGUUACAGAAAAGAUUGAUGACCCAAAGGAAAUAAAUCGAGUAGAGGAGAAAGGGUCAUCACAAACUGAUUCUAGCAUGCUUCUAAUCAACAAUUCAGAAAGGCUGCUUGAUGGAAAAGAUGACACUAUUUGCUUUCAUCAAAAGAUUCCUAGCGGAUUAGACGGUAAAGAAGGGAUUUUACAAGUUGAGUACACAGCACUUUUAAAAAAUGAUGAAAAGACAAAGAGAAGACUCUCCGAACUUGAGAAGAAACAUGCUGAAUAUUUUCAAGAUACACUGAUUUUGAUAGCAGAACUGAAAAACACCAUUUCAAUGAAAGAUGAGGAGAUACAGAUGUUGAGACAAAAAUUGGCCUCUCAAAAGACAAGUUGUAUUGUUACUGUGGACUCUUGGCAUGGUCAACAGAAGGUUGAGUUCCCACAGAAUUGUAAACCUCAAGGUUCUGAGACACCUGAUGGGCUAAAUGUACCAUCCACUAAUAGUCAGUCACUUGCUGUGUUUCCAGAAAAAGGCCUGGCAGAGAGCACUUGUGCAGACGAGCAAAAUAAUAUUUCAACUAUUGCAGAAAAGUUCAGAAGGGAUAUUGACAAUCUGAUUGAGGGUAAUUUAGAUUUUUGGCUAAGGUUCAGUACGUCAUUCCAUCACAUGCAGGAGCUGAAAUCCAAAUAUGAAGACCUACAAACUGAUAUCAGUAAGCUCAAGAAAAAGAACACAGUACAGAGUGAGGAUAGUCCCACCGCCGAUCCGACAAAGAAAUCUGAGUCACAACCAGUAAUCACAAGAUUGAGAGAAUUGAAAACCGAACUCUGUGUAUGGUUGGAACAGAGUGAAUUAUUGAGAGGGGAGUUGCAGAGUAGGAUCUCAAGUCUUUUUGAAUUGCAAGUGGAGAUAUCCAGUGCGAACAAUCCAAAAAUGGAAUCUGUGGAUGUUUUGUUCACUCUUUACGAGGCUGCAAAGUUUCAAGGCGAGGUGAUGAAUAUGAAACAGGAGAAUACUAAGGCAGUUGGUGAACUGCAGUUGGGGCAAGACCAUGUAAGGAAGCUUCAAGCUGAAAUUGAGGAACAACUGUCUAAAUCAUGUGAAAAUUUUGAACCAUUUCCUCCAGGCAGCCCUUGCGUUCACUCAGAUAGGCCUCCGAGGACUAGAGUACCUUUGAGUGUUUUCCUUUUUGGUGCCAAGCCUAAAACGCCAUCAUUCUUUGAGCGCAUACAACCAGUGUUUCAUAAACAACACAUGAAGCUUAGAGCUGGACGUCGGCCAGUUGCUUAAGUUGUGUAAACUGUUUAUAGAUAACCAAAGUGUUUGGUAUGUAUCUUCUACUCAACCAACUUUUUAUGGAAUUGUCUUGGACAGGUCCAAACAGUUUCCACAACCAGAAGAGUAACUCAUCUCUUGUUGGCAAAUAAUAUUACUAUGGUUAUGAUGUGACAAAGCUCUUCAAACAUAUAUUUUCCUGUUUGGAGGAUACCUUCCGUUUGUCUUAUUCGUUUUCCUCUGCUGGCUCAUUAGAGCAGCUUUUGUUAAUGGUGUUUCAUUGGUGAAAGUUGUUUCUUUCUUUGAAAUUGUUGCAAGUUUGAGUUAUGGUAAUACAUGUAAAUUAGGUGAAACCAAUUAUUUGUAAAGAAAAUAAAACCGUGUCUGUAUUUUUCUCCACUUGUACAUGGAAAAGCAGUGAGAAAUUGUAUGCCGUUAUCAGCAUUAAUCUUCUAGUAGUUUAUUUCAUAGUGCAAUUGGAACUGAUGCUGAUUAGUCUUUAAUCUACUUUAAUUAUUCCGGAAGGAAAUUUCACCAACGCAAAAAGUAGAUCUUUUGCAACUCCACUUCCAUAGUUCUUGAUUCUUUUCACUGAACCAAACGCCAAAUUUUGGUCUGAAAAUGAAACGGCUUCUUCUAGUGCAUCUCUUGUAUCGAAAGAUACAAUGCUUAUAAAAUGUUAUCUUUUUAGUUCAUAUAUCAAUGCUAGUUAUGCUUAUUCUUGCGUGAUUAGGAAGCCAAAGGCAAAUGAGUUGUUGGAAUAAUGUACAAUUUGCAUGCCAAAAUUAGAAUCUUCAAGUAUUAUCCAAAGAACCCAUGGCUGAUGGUUCCCUCUUGGUACUAAUAAGUGAGGGACUACACGUUCCUUGGCAACUCCCAAAUUUUCUAGCUCCGUUAUUCAAGUAGAAGGGGAGAUGGGUAAGGACGAGAAAGGCAGAAUCAUCAAAGGCUUACAUGGCUGGGGCUCCUAUUCCUGGAACGGAUGGCCUGCUCGAUCUUAUCAUCCAGCAGCAGCUGAAGCUCGUUAUGGCGGCCAAGGAUAUACCAGCCUCCACCACCAUCAUACUCUCCUGCUGCUGCUCCACCACACCAAGGCAGGUCCGAAUGGGUGAUGCAUCGUAAGCAGCCCUGUUGACGAGGCAUGUUUUGCUUGAAGUGCCAAAAAGAGCCAAUUGGAAUUUAACUAUCUAACCCACAGUGAGUCUCAUAUUCAGCUCAAGGUGUGGCGUUGUACAUAGAUUACUUCUUUUUUCUGCAUUUGCGAUUAGAUGGCCCAAAUGGCCAAUGCUUCGGUCAGGAGUUAUAACAACUCCUGAUUUAAUAAAAUCAUGGAGUUUAUACACUGUACAGAUGAGAUAUUUAUCCGUUUAUCGAUUGCUGGUCCAUUCUUCUUUUC
Molecule: RNA transcript, 5265 nt
Organism: Zingiber officinale
Lineage: Eukaryota; Viridiplantae; Streptophyta; Magnoliopsida; Zingiberales; Zingiberaceae
Exons: 7
Source: RefSeq, a predicted model, not a curated record